AGGGUGGUUGGGAGCUUCUCUUGAGGUUAGUUGCUUACUAAUUCCCUUUUGAUCAUGAUUUCCACGAUUUUUGUAUACAAACCCUAGAAAUGGGUAUUUAGGGUUUGUUUUGGGGAUUUUUGAUUAGAGGCUUUUGUAGCCUAAUUGAUCUUAUUAGAACCUUUGUCUAGGUUGCAUUGGAAGGAAUUUAGCUCUCUUUUGGAGCUUGAGAGGGAUUUCCACCACCAUAGGUGAGUUUUGGCCCUUUCAUUGAGUUGGUUAAUGUUUAACGUAUUCGUUGUUCGUGAUGCUCGUGUAUCUCUUCGCUCCUUACUUUUAGGGUACUUAGAGACUCGUGGACAACUCCGUUCGGCGAAUCGAAGGAUUCCGAGACGGUUCGGUGGGUUUGGCCUCACCAAAUGAAACAAAAUUCUCUUAUGAUGGUUUUAUUUAUCGUAAAAUGAAAAUGCAUGCAUAUUCAUGCUAGAUAGAUUAAUUGUGAAUUUUAGAAUGCUUAAAAAUACGCACGUUAUGUAUAAUGCAUUUUCGAACCUCUAUGUAGUAGAGAGCUUGCAUGUGAGACUUGUGCAUGGGUUUAGCAUUCUAAUUGGGACUUGGAAUCAUACUUCUUGUAGUAGUCAUGACAAAUAUAAUGUGCCUUGGACAUAAACCUCAUUGGGACAUAGGAGAAUAUUUUGGGCCAUAAAGUGGCUUUAGAUUUGAAUAUCUUGUGAGGUAGGAAGCUAAUGUUGUAAUGCGACGUCGGGCUCAAACUAUAAGUGAGCCUAGCAAGUAAUGCCAUAGAGAGGCAUUAGACUCGAGCGAUAUAUAAAUUGCAUGUGCAUGUUAAUAUUAUGAAAAUUAUGUUAAGUUGGUUGUUACAUCGAAAUCAUAUGCUAGUGGAUAGAUGCAUGUUUAUACUUAUACGCAUUGUGGGAUACAGGCUAGGCACAUAUUAGCAAUGUGAGAUCAUGCUUGAGAGCACCGUGCAUUAACCUAGAACGGGUAUAUUAAGCUAAUGUCAUAAAGAGGCAUUAGGCUUAGGUUUGGUGUAGUAAGCUAAUGUCAUAAAGAGGCAUUAGGCUUAGGUUUGGUGUAGUAAGCUAAUGUCAUAAAGAGGCAUUAGGCUUGGGAUACGUAUGGACUUAGUCAGGCUAAGGUCACAUGAGACAUUGAAUUAUUGAACGGUUAAACCUUCACUUGAGGCAUAGACUAGACACUGGGCUUGCUAGUGUGCAUUUCCAUGUUAGAGACAUGAUGACUGUUGAGUUGCAUUUCCAUGUUGGAGACAUGACGAUUGGACUAUUGAGGUUUUGACCAUGCUUGCUUGCCAUUUGUGCUCAUUCGCACAUGCUUGUGAGGGUCGCUCCCCACAAGCCGGCACUCCGGAGUUAGCCUACGCGACAUAUGCUCGCUCGUGCGGUAUUGAGAAGCCUACGGGGUCGAGUGGGACAGACACAUUCCAAGAGUAGGAAUGUUGGGCUACCACAGGCACUUAGGCGGCACAAGCCGGACUACACCCGUGUAGAUCCUGAAUGAGAUUGAACCAGAAUACUAAACAACAGGUUGACAAUCACUACUAGAUAGGUUAUAGUAGUUGGAUUUUCUUGACAUGCUAUGGCAUAGGGUUGGACUUUUGGGACAUUUAGUGUACUUGACAUUAUCGCUUAUUGCAUUGUAGUACACCUUGCUGCCAUGAUAGUACAUACUAG
RNAcentral lists this long non-coding RNA (1691 nucleotides) under Ananas comosus (pineapple). RNAcentral describes it as "long non-coding RNA (ACOM_LNC038306)". Lineage: Eukaryota; Viridiplantae; Streptophyta; Magnoliopsida; Poales; Bromeliaceae. The record is from RNAcentral.